AUUGAACGCUGGCGGCAUGCCUUACACAUGCAAGUCGAACGGCAGCACGGGGGGUAACCCCUGGUGGCGAGUGGCGAACGGGUGAGUAAUAUAUCGGAACGUGUCCUGUAGCGGGGGAUAACCUAUCGAAAGAUGGACUAAUACCGCAUACGACCUACGGGUGAAAGCGGAGGACCGCAAGGCUUCGCACUAUAGGAGCGGCCGAUAUCGGGUUAGCUAGUUGGCGGGGUAACGGCCCACCAAGGCGACGAUCCGUAGCUGGUCUGAGAGGACGAUCAGCCACACUGGAACUGAGACACGGUCCAGACUCCUACGGGAGGCAGCAGUGGGGAAUUUUGGACAAUGGGCGCAAGCCUGAUCCAGCCAUGCCGCGUGAGUGAAGAAGGCCUUCGGGUUGUAAAGCUCUUUCGGCGGGGACGAAACGGUUCGUGCUAAUACCACGGACUACUGACGGUACCCGCAGAAGAAGCACCGGCUAACUACGUG
RNAcentral lists this ribosomal RNA (486 nucleotides) under uncultured bacterium. Its description in RNAcentral is "partial 16S ribosomal RNA". It matches the Rfam family "Bacterial small subunit ribosomal RNA", at positions 29 to 507 of the family's 1533-position model. The record is from RNAcentral.